RNAcentral lists this long non-coding RNA (437 nucleotides) under Rattus norvegicus (Norway rat). RNAcentral describes it as "long non-coding RNA NONRATT033424". The record is from RNAcentral. Lineage: Eukaryota; Metazoa; Chordata; Mammalia; Rodentia; Muridae.
CAAGGGCCUCCAUCACAGCAUGGCUGUCCUGGUGCUAUUGCUCUGCCUGGUGACAUUUCCAAGCUGUGUCCUGUCCCAGGUGCAGCUGAAGGAGUCAGGACCUGGCUUGAUGCAGCCCUCAGAGACCCUGUCCCUCACCUGCACUGUCUCUGGCUUCUCACUAACCAGCAAUGGUGUAGGCUGGGUUCGACAACCUCUAGGAAAGGGUUUGGUGUGGAUGGGAACAAUAUGGGCUGGUGGAAGUACAAAUUAUAAUUCAGCUGUCCAAUCCCGACUGAGCAUCAGCAGGGACACCUCCAAGAGCCAAGUUUUCUUAAAAAUGAACAGUCUGCAACCUGAAGACACAGGCACUUACUACUGUGCCAGACACACAGUGAGAGAAGUCCAGUGUGAACUUGCACAAAAACUUCCCUACAGUGAUUUUUAGGACCAGCAGG